GUUGAACGCUGGCGGCAUGCCUAACACAUGCAAGUCGAGCGGAUGAACGGGGCGUUUGCCUGGCUGCAGCUACCGACGGACGAGUGAGUCCUACGAAGCUGCCUUAUCUUUAAGGAUAAGGUCAGUAAACGGAAGCUAAUAUCAUAUAGGUUCUUAUGUUGAACGGCGUGGUUCUUCGGACCUCGCCCUUUUUGCUGUCCCUAGGUCGUGUUAGCUAGUUGGUUUGGUAAAGGCCUACCAAGGCGACGAUCCGUAACUGAUCUGAGAGGAUGAUCAGCCACACUGGAACUGAGACACGGUCCAGACUCCUACGGGAGGCAGCAGUGGGGAAUAUUGGACAAUGGGCGAAAGCCUGACGGAGCAACGCCGCGUGUGUGAAGAAGGUCUUCGGAUUGUAAAGCACUUUAAGUAGGGAAGAAGAGAAGUAAGAUAAAACAUGGAUGUUUUGACGUUACCAAAAGAAAAAGCAACGGCUAACUUCGUG
RNAcentral lists this ribosomal RNA (484 nucleotides) under uncultured bacterium. RNAcentral's name for it is "partial 16S ribosomal RNA". It matches the Rfam family "Bacterial small subunit ribosomal RNA", at positions 28 to 507 of the family's 1533-position model. The record is from RNAcentral.